AUGUACAUUCCUACAGCAUAGCGUUAAUGCACCGGAUCCCAUUAGAACUUCACAAUCAAGAACACUCAGGCUAGAGUAGUACUGGGAUGGGUGACCACCUAGGAAAUCCUAGUGUUUUACAUG
Picea glauca (white spruce) is the source of this 123-nucleotide non-coding RNA. The record is from Rfam. NCBI's taxonomy places the organism in Eukaryota, Viridiplantae, Streptophyta, Pinopsida, Pinales, Pinaceae.